This 253-nucleotide ribosomal RNA is filed under the name uncultured bacterium. RNAcentral describes it as "partial 16S ribosomal RNA". It matches the Rfam family "Bacterial small subunit ribosomal RNA", at positions 524 to 776 of the family's 1533-position model. The record is from RNAcentral.
UACAGGGGGGGCAAGCGUUGUUCGGAAUUACUGGGCGUAAAGGGUCUGUAGGUGGCCAACUAAGUCAGACGUGAAAUCCCUCAGCUUAACUGGGGAACUGCGUCUGAUACUGGAUGGCUCGAGUGUGGGAGAGGAAUGCGGAAUUCCAGGUGUAGCGGUGAAAUGCGUAGAUAUCGAGAGGAACACCUGCGGCGAAGGCGGGUUGCUGGGCUGACACUGACGCUGAGGCGCGAAAGCCAGGGGAGCGAACGGG